This 248-nucleotide ribosomal RNA is filed under the name uncultured bacterium. RNAcentral's name for it is "partial 16S ribosomal RNA". It matches the Rfam family "Bacterial small subunit ribosomal RNA", at positions 524 to 771 of the family's 1533-position model. The record is from RNAcentral.
UACGGAGGGGGCUAGCGUUGUUCGGAAUUACUGGGCGUAAAGCGCACGUAGGCGGCUUUGUAAGUUAGAGGUGAAAGCCCAGGGCUCAACCCUGGAAUUGCCUUUAAGACUGCAUCGCUUGAAUCAUGGAGAGGUGAGUGGAAUUCCGAGUGUAGAGGUGAAAUUCGUAGAUAUUCGGAAGAACACCAGUGGCGAAGGCGACUCACUGGACAUGUAUUGACGCUGAGGUGCGAAAGCGUGGGGAGCAA